Molecule: non-coding RNA, 73 nt
Organism: Bos taurus (domestic cattle)
Lineage: Eukaryota; Metazoa; Chordata; Mammalia; Artiodactyla; Bovidae
Source: Rfam
UCCCUGGUGGUCCAGUGGCUAAGACUCUGUGCUCCCAAUGCAGGCAGCCUAGGUUCAAUUCCUGGGCAGGGAA